Molecule: small nuclear RNA, 188 nt
Filed under: Erinaceus europaeus (western European hedgehog)
Lineage: Eukaryota; Metazoa; Chordata; Mammalia; Eulipotyphla; Erinaceidae
Description: 7SK RNA
Rfam family: 7SK RNA
About the family: 7SK was discovered as an abundant small nuclear RNA in the mid-70s but a possible function has only recently been suggested. Two independent studies have found that 7SK RNA binds the CDK9/cyclin T complex (known as elongation factor P-TEFb).
Source: Rfam by way of RNAcentral
GGGUGUGAGGGUGAUCUGCCUGUGAUAUCUGUCGCCCCAUUCUUCGCCAGGGUUGCUUCUGCUGAUCUGGCUAGCUAGGAAGGUGUCCCUUACUCCCUCACUGCUUCAUGUGUAUUGCUCCUAAAGAUGAGAGCUCUUGGAGACUAGGUGAUAUAACACUUGGUUGAGCACAUUACAAUACUCAAGGA